RNAcentral lists this ribosomal RNA (492 nucleotides) under uncultured bacterium. Its description in RNAcentral is "partial 16S ribosomal RNA". It matches the Rfam family "Bacterial small subunit ribosomal RNA", at positions 29 to 507 of the family's 1533-position model. The record is from RNAcentral.
AGUGAACGCUGGCGGUAGGCCUAACACAUGCAAGUCGAACGGCAGCACAGUAAGAGCUUGCUCUUACGGGUGGCGAGUGGCGGACGGGUGAGGAAUACAUCGGAAUCUACUUUUUCGUGGGGGAUAACGUAGGGAAACUUACGCUAAUACCGCAUACGACCUACGGGUGAAAGCAGGGGACCUUCGGACCUUGCGCGAUUGAAUGAGCCGAUGUCGGAUUAGCUAGUUGGCGGGGUAAAGGCCCACCAAGGCGACGAUCCGUAGCUGGUCUGAGAGGAGGAUCAGACACACUGGAAAUGAGACACGGUCCAGACUCCUACGAGAGGCAGCAGUGGGGAAUAUUGGACAAUGGGCGCAAGCCUGAUCCAGCCAUACCGCGUGGGUGAAGAAGGCCUUCGGGUUGUAAAGCCCUUUUGUUGGGAAAGAAAAGUAGCAGGUUAAUACCCCGCUGUUCUGACGGUACCCAAAGAAUAAGCACCGGCUAACUUCGUG